CACGCCGUAAACGAUGAAUACUAGGUGUAGGAGGUAUCGACUCCUUCUGUGCCGCAGCUAACGCAAUAAGUAUUCCGCCUGGGAAGUACGAUCGCAAGAUUAAAACUCAAAGGAAUUGACGGGGACCCGCACAAGCAGCGGAGCAUGUGGUUUAAUUCGAAGCAACGCGAAGAACCUUACCUGGACUUGACAUCCCCUGAAUAACUCGUAAUGGAGGAAGCCCUUCGGGGCAGGGAGACAGGUGG
RNAcentral lists this ribosomal RNA (245 nucleotides) under uncultured bacterium. RNAcentral's name for it is "partial 16S ribosomal RNA". It matches the Rfam family "Bacterial small subunit ribosomal RNA", at positions 796 to 1041 of the family's 1533-position model. The record is from RNAcentral.